RNAcentral lists this non-coding RNA (31 nucleotides) under Rattus norvegicus (Norway rat). The record is from RNAcentral. Lineage: Eukaryota; Metazoa; Chordata; Mammalia; Rodentia; Muridae.
UAGGACUCUCCUUGGGCACAGCCCAUACCUG